This 401-nucleotide ribosomal RNA is filed under the name uncultured bacterium. RNAcentral describes it as "partial 16S ribosomal RNA". It matches the Rfam family "Archaeal small subunit ribosomal RNA", at positions 473 to 873 of the family's 1478-position model. The record is from RNAcentral.
ACACCGGCGGCCCGAGUGGUGAUCGUGAUUAUUGGGUCUAAAGGGUCCGUAGCCGGUUUGGUCAGUCCUCCGGGAAAUCUGAUAGCUCAACUAUUAGGCUUUCGGGGGAUACUGCCAGACUUGGAACCGGGAGAGGUAAGAGAUACUACAGGGGUAGGAGUGAAAUCUUGUAAUCCCUGUGGGACCACCUGUGGCGAAGGCGUCUUACCAGAACGGGUUCGACGGUGAGGGACGAAAGCUGGGGGCACGAACCGGAUUAGAUACCCGGGUAGUCCCAGCCGUAAACGAUGCUCGCUAGGUGUCAGGCAUGGCGCGACCGUGUCUGGUGCCGCAGGGAAGCCGUGAAGCGAGCCACCUGGGAAGUACGGCCGCAAGGCUGAAACUUAAAGGAAUUGACGGGG